CUUGCAAGUGUGAAAGUUGUGUUGACAGUAGCUGCAGGAACUGUCAGGGUGAGGUAGGUAACAUCCCAGAACCGAAUGGAGUAAUUAUCUCGUUACAUUUCUUGAAAACCAACCCACCACAUUCAGUAUAACACUGUAAACAGUAUAAACCUCCAACGAAGCCAUGACAGAGGACCCGAGUGCUCAAACUUGGUCCAUCAACAAGGACGAUUAUGUGCUCAACGAGGUGAUUGGGAGUGGUGCCACGGCUGUGGUGCAGGCGGCCUACUGUGAGCCCAGGAAGGAGAGGGUGGCCAUUAAACGCAUCAACCUGGAGAAGUGUCAGACCAGUAUGGACGAGCUCCUGAAAGAGAUCCAGGCUAUGUCCCAGUGCCACCACCCCAACAUUGUGUCCUACUACACGUCUUUCGUAGUGAAGGACGAGCUGUGGCUGGUGAUGAGGCUACUCAGUGGUGGCUCAGUACUGGACAUCAUUAAACACAUCAUAUCUCGUGGGGAGCAUAAGUCUGGGGUGCUGGAUGAAUCGUCCAUAGCCACCAUCCUAAAAGAGGUCCUGGAAGGACUGGAGUACCUGCAUAAGAAUGGGCAGAUUCACAGGGAUCUGAAGGCUGGUAAUAUUCUUCUCGGGGACGAUGGCUCAGUGCAAAUCGCAGACUUUGGUGUGAGUGCCUUCUUAGCGGCGGGAGGAGAUAUGACCAGAACUAAGGUCAGAAAGACAUUUGUUGGAACGCCAUGUUGGAUGGCCCCAGAGGUCAUGGAGCAGGUCAGAGGUUAUGACUACAAAGCAGAUAUCUGGAGUUUCGGGAUCACAGCCAUCGAGCUGGCUACAGGCGCAGCCCCUUAUCAUAAAUAUCCACCCAUGAAGGUGCUGAUGUUGACCCUGCAGAAUGACCCUCCCUGUUUGGAGACGGGGAUCCAGGACAAGGAGAUGGUGAAGAAGUACGGCAAGUCCUUCAGGAAGAUGAUAUCUCUGUGUCUACAGAAGGAGCCUGAGAAAAGACCAACUGCUGCUGAGCUGCUUAAGCAUAAAUUCUUCACUAAAGCAAAGAAUAAUGAAUACUUGGAAGAGAAGCUCCUUCAGAAAGGUCCAUCGAUAGGAGACAGAUCCAAAAGGGUGCGCCGUGUGCCUGGCUCCAGUGGUCGUCUCCACAAGACAGAAGACGGAGAGUGGGAGUGGAGUGAUGAUGAACUGGAUAUGGAGAGUGAGGAGGGCAAGGCAGCCGUGGCAGCUCUAAGGUCUCCCAGAGUGAGAGAUGGAUCCAUCGAGAUCUUCCUUCCAGAGGAUGGUUCUCCCAGUCCGCUCCGUCCUGGAGGGGAAGGGCACGACAAAGUAGCUGAGGCCACCCUUACACAGGGAGACGCUGUAGCCCAGGACCCUGCCGCCACCAAAGUCCCCAUCAGCCUGGUGUUGAGGUUGAGGUACGCAUCCAGUGGAACUUUAAGAAAGAACUGAACGACAUCCGAUUUGAGUUCAUGCCUGGUAGAGAUUCAUCAGAUGGAGUGUCUCAGGAGUUGGUAUCCGCAGGUCUAGUCGAUGGGAAAGACGUAGUGGUUGUUGCUGCCAACCUGCAGAAGAUUGUUGAUGAUCCUUUCAACAAUAAAAAUGUAACUUUCAAACUGGCAUCUGGCAUAGAUGAGUCGGAGAUCCCUGACGAUGUGAAACUGAUGGGUUUCGCUCAGCUCAGCAUCAGUUAACUCAAUAUUCCGUCAACAAAGGAGAACAAACAGUAUUGCACAGCAGCAUAGUUCUAAAUUCCAAGACACCACUACUGCCAAAGAAGAGAGCCACAGUGCAUUUGUCAACCUGUAGGGUUAUUUUCUUUACUGAAACCUGCAGUGUUAGUUAAAAUGGCCUCUGAGAAUGGGACCAGUGUAACAAAAAGACAACAGUUAGGACAGGAACAGUAAAUCACACUUGAAAGAGUUUACAGCAGUGUAUCUGGGAGGGAGGACGGCGGGCAUCACAAUCGACAUAAACAUCGACUUAAAAGUAAA
RNA transcript from Salmo salar (Atlantic salmon), 1995 nucleotides. It is a transcript of the gene named serine/threonine-protein kinase OSR1, with no coding region annotated. The record is from RefSeq and is a predicted model, not a curated record. Lineage: Eukaryota; Metazoa; Chordata; Actinopteri; Salmoniformes; Salmonidae.